Molecule: unclassified non-coding RNA, 316 nt
Filed under: plant metagenome
Description: partial contains 5.8S ribosomal RNA, internal transcribed spacer 2, and large subunit ribosomal RNA
Rfam family: 5.8S ribosomal RNA (bases 1-105)
Source: RNAcentral
GAAAUGCGAUAACUAGUAUGAAUUGCAGAAUUCCGUGAAUCAUCGAGUCUUUGAACGCACAUUGCGCCCCCUGGUAUUCCGGGGGGCAUGCCUGUCCGAGCGUCAUUGCUGCCCAUCAAGCACGGCUUGUGUGUUGGGUCGUCGUCCCCUCUCCGGGGGGGACGGGCCCCAAAGGCAGCGGCGGCACCGCGUCCGAUCCUCGAGCGUAUGGGGCUUUGUCACCCGCUCUGUAGGCCCGGCCGGCGCUUGCCGAACGCAAAUCAAUCUUUUUCCAGGUUGACCUCGGAUCAGGUAGGGAUACCCGCUGAACUUAAGC